ACAUCCUCUUAAGUACCCAUUCAUUCUCAAUGCACAUAACACUUAUCAUAACCAAUGCCUCAGAAUAAUGCAGAUGACAAGUUCACACAAAUAAUGAGGAGAUGACCAUUUUCAUAACAUCGCACAGUUCACAACCACACAAACAUGAAGUUACAUCAACAAUGAUUCAACAAGCCUUCAACCAUUUCUCAACACAACACACAUAAACAAUUAAUUACAUUGCCUUUUUGUUGUCCCCAUUCUUUUAAUCA
This 251-nucleotide unclassified non-coding RNA is filed under the name Hevea brasiliensis (rubber tree). The record is from RNAcentral. Lineage: Eukaryota; Viridiplantae; Streptophyta; Magnoliopsida; Malpighiales; Euphorbiaceae.